GCACUUUAUCUCCACGUUCGGAUCAUCCCGCAUCGCCAAACUAGCUUACCCAGUGUGGCCCACUAGCGACCGCCAUUCAACCGCAGGGUUCAAUUAAGCAACCCCGAGUUCUUACCCAUUUAAAGUUUGAGAAUAGGCCGAGGGCAUUACGCC
This 153-nucleotide ribosomal RNA is filed under the name Amphora coffeiformis. RNAcentral's name for it is "5.8S ribosomal RNA". The record is from RNAcentral. Lineage: Eukaryota; Bacillariophyta; Bacillariophyceae; Surirellales; Surirellaceae.